AGAUUGAACGCUGGCGGCAGGCUUAACACAUGCAAGUCGAGCGGAAACGAUACCAGCUUGCUGGUAGGCGUCGAGCGGCGGACGGGUGAGUAACACUUAGGAAUCUACCUAGUAGUGGGGGAUAGCUCGGGGAAACUCGAAUUAAUACCGCAUACGUCCUACGGGAGAAAGGGGGCAACUUGUUGCUCUCGCUAUUAGAUGAGCCUAAGUCGGAUUAGCUAGUUGGUGGGGUAAAGGCCUACCAAGGCGACGAUCUGUAGCUGGUCUGAGAGGAUGAUCAGCCACACCGGGACUGAGACACGGCCCGGACUCCUACGGGAGGCAGCAGUGGGGAAUAUUGGACAAUGGGGGCAACCCUGAUCCAGCCAUGCCGCGUGUGUGAAGAAGGCCUUUUGGUUGUAAAGCACUUUAAGCAGUGAAGAAGACCUAACGGUUAAUACCCGUUAGCGAUGACAUUAGCUGCAGAAUAAGCACCGGCUAACUCUGUGCCAGCAGCCGCGGUAAUACAGAGGGUGCAAGCGUUAAUCGGAAUUACUGGGCGUAAAGCGAGCGUAGGUGGCUUGAUAAGUCAGAUGUGAAAUCCCCGGGCUUAACCUGGGAACUGCAUCUGAUACUGUUAGGCUAGAAUAGGUGAGAGGAAGGUAGAAUUCCAGGUGUAGCGGUGAAAUGCGUAGAGAUCUGGAGGAAUACCGAUGGCGAAGGCAGCCUUCUGGCAUCAUAUUGACACUGAGGUUCGAAAGCGUGGGUAGCAAACAGGAUUAGAUACCCUGGUAGUCCACGCCGUAAACGAUGUCUACUAGUCGUUGGGUCCCUUGAGGACUUAGUGACGCAGCUAACGCAAUAAGUAGACCGC
Molecule: ribosomal RNA, 853 nt
Filed under: Psychrobacter proteolyticus
Lineage: Bacteria; Pseudomonadati; Pseudomonadota; Gammaproteobacteria; Moraxellales; Moraxellaceae
Description: bacterial SSU rRNA
Rfam family: Bacterial small subunit ribosomal RNA
Source: RNAcentral